Molecule: ribosomal RNA, 433 nt
Filed under: uncultured bacterium
Lineage: Bacteria
Description: partial 16S ribosomal RNA
Rfam family: Bacterial small subunit ribosomal RNA
Source: RNAcentral
AGCGAACGCUGGCGGCAUGCCUAACACAUGCAAGUCGAACGAUCCCUUCGGGGAUAGUGGCGCACGGGUGCGUAACGCGUGGGAACCUGCCCUUAGGUUCGGAAUAACUCAGAGAAAUUUGAGCUAAUACCGGAUAAUGUCUUCGGACCAAAGAUUUAUCGCCUUUGGAUGGGCCCGCGUUGGAUUAGCUAGUUGGUGGGGUAAAGGCCUACCAAGGCGACGAUCCAUAGCGGGUCUGAGAGGAUGAUCAGCCACACUGGGACUGAGACACGGCCCAGACUCCUACGGGAGGCAGCAGUGGGGAAUAUUGGACAAUGGGCGAAAGCCUGAUCCAGCAAUGCCGCGUGAGUGAUGAAGGCCUUAGGGUUGUAAAGCUCUUUUACCCGGGAUGAUAAUGACAGUACCGGGAGAAUAAGCCCCGGCUAACUCCGUG